RNAcentral lists this ribosomal RNA (400 nucleotides) under Pseudodactylogyrus bini. RNAcentral describes it as "eukaryotic LSU rRNA". It matches the Rfam family "Eukaryotic large subunit ribosomal RNA", at positions 1 to 373 of the family's 3401-position model. The record is from RNAcentral. Lineage: Eukaryota; Metazoa; Platyhelminthes; Monogenea; Dactylogyridea; Pseudodactylogyridae.
CGGCCUCAGAUCAAGCGUGAUUACCCGCUGAACUUAAGCAUAUCAGUAAGCGGAGGAAAAGAAACUAACCAGGAUUCUCCUAGUAACGGCGAGUGAACGGAGAUUAGCCCAUCACCGAAGCCUAUCCGUUUUUGCGGAAAUGGCAAUGUGGUGUCAGGGUGUGUGCCUGGGACCGCUUGCUUACUCCAAGUCCGACACCGAAUACGGCUAGGAUAAUGUCCCGAGAGGGUGAUAGACCCGUGUGGGUAAGCUUGUGCAUGUAAGCGGUUCUCAGAUGCAUAUACCUGCGAGUCGGAUUGCUUGAGAAUGCAGUCCAAAGUGGGUGGUAAACUCCAUCCAAGGCUAAAUACUGGCACGAGUCCGAUAGUAGACAAGUACCGUGAGGGAAAGUUGAAAAGUA